RNAcentral lists this ribosomal RNA (230 nucleotides) under uncultured bacterium. RNAcentral's name for it is "partial 16S ribosomal RNA". It matches the Rfam family "Bacterial small subunit ribosomal RNA", at positions 118 to 351 of the family's 1533-position model. The record is from RNAcentral.
UAGGAAUAUGCCUUAAAGUGGGGGACAACUUGGGGAAACUCAAGCUAAUACCGCAUAACCUCUUAGGAGGGAAGCUGGGGACCAUUUGGCCUGGCGCUUUAAGAUUAGCCUGCGUCCGAUUAGCUAGUUGGUAGGGUAAGGGCCUACCAAGGCGACGAUCGGUAGCUGGUCUGAGAGGAUGACCAGCCACACUGGGACUGAGACACGGCCCAGACUCCUACGGAAGGCAG